RNAcentral lists this ribosomal RNA (434 nucleotides) under uncultured bacterium. Its description in RNAcentral is "partial 16S ribosomal RNA". It matches the Rfam family "Bacterial small subunit ribosomal RNA", at positions 29 to 507 of the family's 1533-position model. The record is from RNAcentral.
AGCGAACGCUGGCGGCAGGCCUAACACAUGCAAGUCGAACGAACCUUUCGGGGUUAGUGGCGGACGGGUGAGUAACACGUGGGAACGUGCCUUUAGGUUCGGAAUGACUCAGGGAAACUUGUGCUAAUACCGAAUGUGCCCUUCGGGGGAAAGAUUUAUCGCCUUUAGAGCGGCCCGCGUCUGAUUAGCUAGUUGGUUGAGGUAAUGGCUCACCAAGGCGACGAUCAGUAGCUGGUCUGAGAGGAUGAUCAGCCACAUUGGGACUGAGACACGGCCCAAACUCCUACGGGAGGCAGCAGGGGGGAAUCUUGCGCAAUGGGCGAAAGCCUGACGCAGCCAUGCCGGGUGAAUGAUGAAGGUCUGAGGAUUGUAAAAUUCUUUCACCGGGGACGAUAAUGACGGUACCCGGAGAAGAAGCCCCGGCUAACUUCGUG